Molecule: long non-coding RNA, 1230 nt
Filed under: Phasianus colchicus (ring-necked pheasant)
Lineage: Eukaryota; Metazoa; Chordata; Aves; Galliformes; Phasianidae
Description: lncRNA (ENSPCLG00000001995.1)
Source: RNAcentral
AUAAAGCGCUCGCCCGCGGCCCCGCCGGGCUCAGGCGAUCCGGCUGCAGAACUCGAGAAAGUCUCUCUCCAUGAAGAGCUCGCUCUCCAGCACAUCGUCCUCGGAAGGGAAGUACUGCUGGCUCUCCUCCUGCGCCAGGAGAGGAGCUGCCGGCGGGGGCUCGGCCGGGCGGGGCGUCGCAUCCUCGGCGGGGCCCGUCAGCGCCCCGCGGGCGUUCUCCAGCACCCCCAGGUACGAGUCCAUGUCCAGCGGGUCCAUCUCGCAGUCCGACCCGCCGCUCUCGGUGCCCACCGAGUCCGAGCGCAGGUGCAUCAGCUGGUACUUCUCCCGCAUCAGGAACUGGUUGGUGUUGCGGGGCGCCCGCAUGCCCGGCGCCCGCCGGCCCAGCAAGUUGACGGGCCGCAGGGAGAGCAGCACCCGCGGCCGGUAGGGCCGGUGGCAGCGGCGGACGGCGCGGCAGCGCUGCUGCAGCUGCAGGGAGUGCUGCAGGUGGCUGUGCGUGCGGCUGCCCAGCAGCUUCCGCCACACGCCGGGCUGCCCGCCCCGCCGCCCGGGAGGCCACCGCGAGCGGCUGCCGCCCCGCCGCGCCUCGCCCUUCGGCAGCGGGCAGCCGGCGCCCGGCAGCCCCUCUCCGCGUGCGGGCGCCCAGCGGGGCCGCCGCGCUCCGCUCCACGCCGCCGGCUCCGCGCGUCGCAGCAUCGCGGCCGCGCUCUCACAUGCUCCCGUCCGCCGCCGGGACGCUCCGACUCCGACGCCGCCCGUCCGCGCGGCUCCGCUCAGCCCCGGGCUCGGCUGCCGCUCCCCGGAGCCGUGCCGCCGCUCCGUGCCGCCUCCCCGCCUGCGGGGCCUCGCCGGCCGCCUCUACCUUUUCACGAUCCGCUCCGUUUUUUUCUUGAGCGGAGCCCGUCUGCAGCGCAUAGCCUGGACGAAGGGCUGCGGGCCGCGGGGCAGCUUGACCGGCGCCGGGCCGCCGCUGACAGACGCUCGGCCCGCUCCCACGCUGUCAGCGCUCCGCCGGGGAACGAGGAGCCGCGGCCGGGCCCGGGAGGAGCGCGGGGAACGCCUCGCACCGCACCCUCCGCCGCCGCCCCACGCCGACUGGCGGCGCGCACCCGCACACUCCUCCUUAUAGCCUCCGGCGCAGCCCAUGCCCCGGCGCCGCGGGGGUGCACGGAGGGCGGCACGGCCGCUCCCGACGCAGCCCGUCCUCCCGGCGCUCGCCCUGUGUGA